GACGAACGCUGGCGGCGUGCUUAGCACAUGCAAGUCGAACGGAAAGGCCCUGCUUUUGUGGGGUGCUCGAGUGGCGAACGGGUGAGUAACACGUGAGUAACCUGCCCUUGACUUUGGGAUAACUUCAGGAAACUGGGGCUAAUACCGGAUAGGAGCUCCUGCUGCAUGGUGGGGGUUGGAAAGUUUCGGCGGUUGGGGAUAGACUCGCGGCUUAUCAGCUUGUUGGUGGGGUAGUGGCUUACCAAGGCUUUGACGGGUAGCCGGCCUGAGAGGGUGACCGGCCACAUUGGGACUGAGAUACAGCCCAGACUCCUACGGGAGGCAGCAGUGGGGAAUAUUGCACAAUGGGCGGAAGCCUGAUGCAGCAACGCCGCGUGCGGGAUGACGGCCUUCGGGUUGUAAACCGCUUUCGCCUGUGACGAAGCGUGAGUGACGGUAAUGGGUAAAGAAGCACCGGCUAACUACGUG
This 468-nucleotide ribosomal RNA is filed under the name uncultured bacterium. Its description in RNAcentral is "partial 16S ribosomal RNA". It matches the Rfam family "Bacterial small subunit ribosomal RNA", at positions 28 to 507 of the family's 1533-position model. The record is from RNAcentral.